RNAcentral lists this ribosomal RNA (253 nucleotides) under uncultured bacterium. Its description in RNAcentral is "partial 16S ribosomal RNA". It matches the Rfam family "Bacterial small subunit ribosomal RNA", at positions 524 to 776 of the family's 1533-position model. The record is from RNAcentral.
UACGUAUGGUGCAAGCGUUAUCCGGAUUUACUGGGCGUAAAGGGAGCGCAGGCGGCGCGCCAAGUCUGAUGUGAAACCCCGGGGCUCAACCCCGGGCAUGCAUUGGAAACUGGCGGGCUGGAGUGCCGGAGAGGUAAGCGGAAUUCCUAGUGUAGCGGUGAAAUGCGUAGAUAUUAGGAGGAACACCAGUGGCGAAGGCGGCUUACUGGACGGCAACUGACGCUGAGGCUCGAAAGCGUGGGGAGCAAACGGG